RNAcentral lists this ribosomal RNA (216 nucleotides) under Glomeromycotina sp. RNAcentral describes it as "partial small subunit ribosomal RNA". The stretch from base 37 to 216 matches the Rfam family "Eukaryotic small subunit ribosomal RNA", at positions 683 to 864 of the family's 1831-position model. The record is from RNAcentral. Lineage: Eukaryota; Fungi; Glomeromycota.
GGGUCAGUAGGUUGGUCGUGCCACCGGUACGUACUGUUCUCACUGAUUCCUCCUUCCUGAAGAACCGUAAUGCCAUUAAUUUGGUGUUGCGGGGAAACAGGACUGUUACUUUGAAAAAAUUAGAGUGUUUAAAGCAAGCUAACGCUUGAAUACAUUAGCAUGGAAUAAUGAAAUAGGACGAUCGAUCAUAUUUUGUUGGUUUCUAGGAUUGACGUA